AUUGAACGCUGGCGGCAGGCCUAACACAUGCAAGUCGAGCGGAAGAAGGGAGCUUGCUCCUGGUUUCAGGGGCGGAGGGGGGGGUAGUGCCGAGGAACCUGCCUGGCUGUGGGGGAGAAGGUCCGGAAACGGGCGCAAAUACCGCAUACGUCCUGAGGGCGAACGUGGGGGAUCUUCGGACCUCACGCUAUUGGAUGACCCUAGGUCGGAUUAGCUAGUUGGUGGGGUAAGGGCCUACCAAGGCGACGAUCCGUAACUGGUCUGAGAGGAUGAUCAGUCACACUGGAACUGAGACACGGUCCAGACUCCUACGGGAGGCAGCAGUGGGGAAUAUUGGACAAUGGGCGAAAGCCUGAUCCAGCCAUGCCGCGUGUGUGAAGAAGGUCUUCGGAUUGUAAAGCACUUUAAGUUGGGAGGAAGGGCAGUAAGUUAAUACCUUGCUGUUUUGACGUUACCAACAGAAUAAGCACCGGCUAACUUCGUG
This 484-nucleotide ribosomal RNA is filed under the name uncultured bacterium. Its description in RNAcentral is "partial 16S ribosomal RNA". It matches the Rfam family "Bacterial small subunit ribosomal RNA", at positions 30 to 507 of the family's 1533-position model. The record is from RNAcentral.